This 253-nucleotide ribosomal RNA is filed under the name uncultured bacterium. RNAcentral describes it as "partial 16S ribosomal RNA". It matches the Rfam family "Bacterial small subunit ribosomal RNA", at positions 524 to 776 of the family's 1533-position model. The record is from RNAcentral.
UACGUAGGGUGCAAGCGUUAAUCGGAAUUACUGGGCGUAAAGCGUGCGCAGGCGGUUUUGUAAGUCUGUCGUGAAAGCCCCGGGCUCAACCUGGGAAUGGCGAUGGAGACUGCAAGGCUUGAAUCUGGCAGAGGGGGGUAGAAUUCCACGUGUAGCAGUGAAAUGCGUAGAUAUCUGGAGGAACACCGGUGGCGAAGGCGGCAUCCUGGACCGACAUUGACGCUGAGGAUCGAAAGCCAGGGGAGCAAACGGG